This 253-nucleotide ribosomal RNA is filed under the name uncultured bacterium. RNAcentral's name for it is "partial 16S ribosomal RNA". It matches the Rfam family "Bacterial small subunit ribosomal RNA", at positions 524 to 776 of the family's 1533-position model. The record is from RNAcentral.
GACGUAGGGCGCGAGCGUUGUCCGGAUUUAUUGGGCGUAAAGAGCGUGUAGGCGGUUCGGUAGGUCCGUUGUGAAAACUCGAGGCUCAACCUCGAGACGCCGAUGGAAACCAUCGAACUAGAGUCCGGAAGAGGAGAGUGGAAUUCCUGGUGUAGCGGUGAAAUGCGCAGAUAUCAGGAAGAACACCCGUGGCUAAGGCGGCUCUCUAGUACGGUACUGACGCUGAGACGCGAAAGCGUGGGGAGCGAACAGG